GAAUCCUCAUCAAGCCACUUCUGUGUGCAGUAGCAUGAAGAGGUCUGAGGAAGCUGUGCGUCCCUCAAGAAAGCAAUUCUUUAUUGCCCAUCAAAGAUGAAUCCAUAGGGGAUCAUUAACAAGGAGAUCAUCCCAGAGAGCAGCUUCUAGAAUCACCAACCAAGCAGAAGAUUUGUCAGAAGAACAAAGACCUCAAAAUGAGAAGGAAUGUGUUCUGGACUUAAAACAUUGCUCAUGAAAUAAAGAAAUAAAGAAAACAAACAAGUAAAUAAAAACAAGAUCUUUAUGGAUGUGGCAGAAAGCUUUGCAAGCCAAGAAAGUCUUCUAUCCAGGUGAUGCAAAUAACUGUAAAACUUCAGACUUCUUGAACUACAAAGAUGAACUCUGCCAACCCAAGUUCUAGUACUUCCUCUACUCCCAGCCUGACCCCCACUGUUUCUUGGUUUCCUCACUCCUUCUCUUUCUGUUUGACUCUUGAGAGUAAUAAACUCAGCCAAGUCCUACUACUUGAGCCCAUAUUUAAAUGCAGAACAAU
This 535-nucleotide long non-coding RNA is filed under the name Homo sapiens (human). Its description in RNAcentral is "long non-coding RNA NONHSAT162339.1". The record is from RNAcentral. Lineage: Eukaryota; Metazoa; Chordata; Mammalia; Primates; Hominidae.